RNAcentral lists this ribosomal RNA (328 nucleotides) under uncultured Ignavibacteriota bacterium. Its description in RNAcentral is "bacterial SSU rRNA". It matches the Rfam family "Bacterial small subunit ribosomal RNA", at positions 568 to 898 of the family's 1533-position model. Lineage: Bacteria; Pseudomonadati; Ignavibacteriota. The record is from RNAcentral.
AGCGCAGGCGGGUUUGUAAGUCGGUGGUGAAAUCCUCAGGCUUAACCUGAGAACUGCCACCGAUACUGUAAAUCUUGAGUGUGGAAGAGGCCGAUGGAAUUCCUGGUGUAGCGGUGAAAUGCGUAGAUAUCAGGAAGAACACCGAUGGCGAAGGCAGUCGGCUGGUCCAUUACUGACGCUCAUGCUCGAAAGCGUGGGGAUCAAACAGGAUUAGAUACCCUGGUAGUCCACGCCCUAAACGAUGGAUGCUCGAUGUCGGCCCGCAAGGGUCGGUGUCUCAGCUAACGCUUUAAGCAUCCCACCUGGGAAGUACGAUCGCAAGGUUGAA